AACGAACGCUGGCGGCAUGCCUAACACAUGCAAGUCGAACGAGACCUUCGGGUCUAGUGGCGCACGGGUGCGUAACGCGGGGGAACCUACCCUUAGGUUCGGAAUAACUCCCCGAAAGGGGUGCUAAUACCGGAUAAUGUCUUCGGACCAAAGAUUUAUCGCCUUUGGAUGGGCCCGCGUUGGAUUAGCUAGUUGGUAGGGUAAAAGCCUACCAAGGCGACGAUCCAUAGCUGGUCUGAGAGGAUGAUCAGCCACACUGGGACUGCGACACGGCCCAGACUCCUACGGGAGGCAGCAGUGGGGAAUAUUGGACAAGGGGCGAAAGCCUGAUCCAGCAAUGCCGCGUGAGUGAUGAAGGCCUUAGGGUUGUAAAGCUCUUUUACCCGGGAUGAUAAUGACAGUACCGGGAGAAUAAGCUCCGGCUAACUCCGUG
Molecule: ribosomal RNA, 433 nt
Filed under: uncultured bacterium
Lineage: Bacteria
Description: partial 16S ribosomal RNA
Rfam family: Bacterial small subunit ribosomal RNA
Source: RNAcentral